ACUCAGCUGACGAGUUCUUGAUGGGACGAAACACGUGUCCUGGAU
Molecule: non-coding RNA, 45 nt
Organism: Schistosoma curassoni
Lineage: Eukaryota; Metazoa; Platyhelminthes; Trematoda; Strigeidida; Schistosomatidae
Source: Rfam